CAGGGCAUCCAUCCAUCCCCAGGCUCGAAGCAAACAGAGGCGAGGCAGAGCCCUUUCCUGGCGGCGGCCGACGGCAAGGUGACUCGCCCCAAAUCCCCCAAAUCAAAUCGUCCCUGGCGGCGGUCGACGGCAACGGUGGGUCCUUGCGGUAUGCUGACUUGUUCCUUCCAGCGGAGGGGGCGGCGGAAGGCGGAGGGCGCGUUCCUUGCGGCAGUGGCAGGCGUGUCCCUUGCGGCGGCGGUGACAGCGCGGCUGCGCGGGGGAGGGGAAGCAGCAGCGGCUGCGGUAGCAGAGGGGCGUCCGCCGCGUGGUCAACAUACCUAGGCUGCUGCAACAGACGCCUAGGGUUCCUCCUUCCCAAACCCCAACCAGCUAUGAAGCAACCGACGCUCCAAGCUCGCCAGAUCUCGCUCUCGUCGUCAACACCAGCAAAGGCUGCAACCUAUGGGACCUGGAUGAACAGUUCAGCCACCAAGAAAUGCCCCACAAUCUCAAGGACAACAUUCUGGGAGUAACUCAGCAUCAAAAUCUAGGAAGGUGCGUGGGAUAAAUAAGGGAAAGGGCUUGGAGCGUUUGAUCAAAAGGGCAGGUCAUCCACUAAACUUGACCAUUUCUGAAGAGAGAAGACCUAUUGGAGAAAACAAUGAACUACUUUCCAGAGAGAUUGGACUUCUUACACGGCACCAUGCACCUAUCCAACGUGUCGGGUGGCAUAGUCUUACUGAGGAUGAUAAGGACCCAUUGUAUGAACUUCUAAAGCUUAAGUUCAAUCUUGAUUUCACCCAAGAUCAUAUCAAAGGCUGUGUGGAUCUGCUAUUCUCUUCAAGCUAAAAAAGUUUCCGUCACAAGUAUUAUGAGCAUUAUGUAAAAUAUGGUGAUGAUGCUAGAAGCAAUCCAUAUCCCCCCCUUAUUGAUAAUAGAGUUGGAGACUGGAUUUGGCUCUGUGAUCAUUUUGAAACAGAAGAAUUUAAGAAACGGUCCACAAUUGGGAAGGCUAACCGCUCAAACCUACCUUAUGUUCACAAGAAGGGAACAAAGUCAUUUGUAGCGGUUCAACAUGAAUUAAAUUGUGGCUAUAUCAGACUAUACAAGGAGUGUUGCUCUAGUGAUAAGAAGGGAUGGGCAUCAGAAGAUGCCAGGAAUAAACAUGUUCUCUGGUCUCAGAUGGAUGGUCAAGGAGGUGAAGCAACUUUGGAGAGGUACACUGUUUGCAUUGCUAUUACUAGGACAUAGGCCCGUGCGUUGCAACGGGAGAUCAAAACCUUGACUCAUAUCCUCUAUUUCAACAUGGCAUCCCACCCGUGUUGUUGCAUAUCCUCAUUCACGUCCUCUUUCUCUUUGUAAAUGUACAACAAGGAGAUGAGUCCGCAUAUGCCCCUGCAUUGCAAUGGAAUAAAAAAAUCACACGCCCCUAACCCUUAUAAGCAUGGCUCGAGACGACCCUUCCACAAACCCUACACGUGUCGACAUCCUCUAUUUUAACAAGACACCCAAUCUGUGCCGUUGUUUAUCUUCCUUCCCGGCCUCACAGAAUAUGGCCACAACAAAUUUAUGUCAAUAGAAUGGAUGCAAUAUAUUUUAUACUAUCUAAUUAUUUUCUAUGCAAAACAAACUUAUUUACAUCUACAUUAAUGGUAAAGAUAUUCUCAAAAGACAUGCAUUUUUGGACUGGGCUUCUCGAUUACCAUCAACGUUUUAAAUGUGGGUUCUUUAUCAUCAUUCCUGGAGAUGACUUUGAUACACAAAUUAUGAUAUCAAUGAUCACUUGCUUGGAGAUGUCGCCCUCAAACCAGUAGCUUUCUUUAGCAUUCAUCUCGUGAACUUGAUGCUAUCUAUCACAUUCUCAGGAACGAUGGCAUUGCUUAUCAAUUUGAGAAUAUAAUCAGUUUUAGUUGUACAAAUUCAGACCAUCCUUCUAUGAUUUCCUUCACAACUUUCAGGUAAAAGGAUUUUAAUGCACACUGUAUCAUGCAUAUGAGUUGAAUAAAAUUUUGCGCUGCAAUGUGCCUUCCUUGUGAAAAAAAUGUGACAUGUAAUGCGACAUCACCGUUGAAAAACAUGAUCCUUAUGUACACUUUUUGUUCAUAAGAGGAAAGAGUGAAAAUAUCAUAAUCGGUUUUAGUGUUAUCCUAAUUUCUAACAUUACGUCAAAAAGUGUAUAUAAUUCUAUUACCCUUAUUUAUAUAUGUACAUUUUUUGUUAGCUGCAUAUUAAUUUUUGAUGAAAAUCAAUGCUAUCAAUGAAAUAAAGUUUUGUGAUAAAUUGAGUCCGCAAACUUAGGUGUCUCCAUAAUGAAAAGCUAGGAGUCCGCAAUAUUUUCAUUUGAUCGAGGUUUCAUUUUAUCCAUUUGCUUCGUACGACCAUAAUUUCCUUUAAUUACAAGAGAUGGCAUGGUCUUCCCUUCCAGCCCCAUUUCAUGCGAGUUAACUGAUAUUCACACCGCAACUUUUUUAUUGUGUCCUUUUCUUUUUUUCUUUCUUAUAUUACGAAAUUCCUUUGCUUUCAAGGUUAAAUAGGACCCACACUUCAGGCUCUGUUCGUUAUUCUUGAUGUCUUUUUUAUUCUGUGACAACUCGUGGGCUAUAUAAGCUGGUAAAAUAUCAUGUAAAAAAGCGAGGUGGUACUGUUUAAAUGCAUAAUGAGCGGUGUAGUUAACAUAAACAGGAGCUAGCUUAGCUGGUUGUAGCCUGAAGGAAGCAAAUAGCAGGUCGUGGGCUCAAUCCUUUGUGCAAGUGGCAAUUUUUUGCGAAUCCUUCUUCUAAACACAAGAGCAGGCCCAUGGCCCAGUACAUUUGUGACGUAUACCAACAAAAGGCCCAGAGCAGCGCUGGCGUACAUAGACCAAAAAAGCAGCGGUAAGGUAUAUGAAUCUGUUUUGUAGCAAAAAAUAGUACCACCUCGGAUACAGUAAAAAAAUAUAAAAUCACCUAAACGGACGAAACCAAGAAUAUCACCUUGCUUUAAUAGUAGGUAUAGAUAGUAGGUAUAGAUAUAGAUGUGCUUUUGAAGUAAAGUUCAUGAGCAUCUUCUAAAUUGUGCUUGGUUCUAUCUAUGUUCGCCAAUGAAAUUACCAAAGAGUGGGUUCCAUCUAAGGGUGAUUUUAUUAAUGUGUACAUACUUGCUACAACUUGACAUUUCAUAUAAAACUGCAAGCAACAUGCUGCCAGAAGCUUCGAGCAAUGUAUGGUUAAUUAGGAUAUCUUCCAGAUUAAAAAGGAAAAGAACGAAUUAGCUCAUGCUCUUGAUUCUUACUAAACUUCCUGUAACUCUGCAUGGUACUUCACAAAUUUUGUACUAUUUGGCUGUAAUGGUGCACAUUUUCUUGAAUUCAUCAAUAAAUGAACAUCAUCCAUGUCAUUUUAACUUGUUUGGCAUUUUCCAAGGUGUAGAGGACAUGUGGGGAGUGAUCGGAGCAGUGCUAAACUAGAUGCCAAAAGAGUAGUUCCUGAUUUGCAAAUUCGGCUUACAAAUACUAGAUGUCAAAUACUAGAAAAGUUCCUUCUUGGUGACCGGAUCAUAUGUUUGGAGCAGUACUAAAGUUGGUACUUUGCAAAUACUACUAGAAUAUUAUUUCCUGAUGGUACUGAAGUUGUGAAACAAAAUUCGGCUUACAAAUGUUAGCAUGUAAUGAUUGGAUCAUAAGUUUACAAAUGCUGAUUCUGAACUUUUUCCUGUUGUAUGUCUAAAAUUCUAAGAUUUCUUGCA
This is a long non-coding RNA of Triticum aestivum (bread wheat), 3705 nucleotides long. RefSeq lists it as uncharacterized. Lineage: Eukaryota; Viridiplantae; Streptophyta; Magnoliopsida; Poales; Poaceae. The record is from RefSeq and is a predicted model, not a curated record. The transcript is spliced from 6 exons.